UUUUUUUUGAGGCCUGUCUGAUUUUCCCAGGAUAUGCAGGGAAGCCAAGCGUGAGCAGCUAUGUACUGUCAUUUCCCUGUCAGACACCUGUCUGAUGCUAUCAAUUUCUUUUCUACCCCCAGAGGUUUCAACCAUUAGAGAGAGCCAGAACUUCCUGUCUGACCUCUUGCCUUUUCAUUUUCUCUCUCCUGGCUCUUCCACUAGCAGUGAAAGGAUGUCCUAUUUCAUUUUUGGUUAGCUGGGAGCAUCUUCUGCUUCCAUGCUCUGUGAUCUUCAUCGAUGUCUUCCUCCACCUUCUCUGGGCAGCACACUUUUUUAGUCUAGUCUGGAAGAAGAGAUUCAGGGACAAGGAAAAAAAAACUGGAUGAGUAAAAUUACAUUUCCAAAAGUAAUUCCAUUUUUUUCUCAUGUCUUUCCUAAAAUGCCAUGGAACUUUAUAGCAUCAAUGUCUGUCAGCAUGGAUUGACAAGCACCCUGGACUUUGGAUGACUUCCCUACAGCCCCAGCUGGGCCUGGCUGGCUGUCUCCCUUCUUCACUUGGCCACAGCAUAACCUGCAGUCAAGCCACAAGAGUGACCUCAAGGCCUCAGACCACUUUUCCAGCCUCAGCUUUUCUUAUGGGUCCAGCCCACUUACAGCAGAAAGUUGCCAACGUUUGGGCUGCCAUAUCACUUCUGCAAGAUGUCGGGGCCCUGCACAGCUGCUCAGACCCCAAUGCUGGAGCAUCCUGGGACCUGGAGAGACCAGGUAUCCACGUAUCAGAAAAAGCUGGCUGGGCACGGUGGCUCCCGCCUGUAAUCCAGCACUUUGGGAGACUGAGGAGAGUGGAUCACCUGAGGUCAGGAGUUCGAGACCAACACGAAGCCUGACCAACAUGGAGAAACCCUGUCUCAACUAAAAAUAUAAAAUUAGCUGAGUGUGGUGGCGCAUGGCUAUAAUCCCAGCUACUCGGUGGUGGGUGGGGGGGGGUGGGUGAGGCAGGAGAAUCACUUGGACCUGGGAGGUGGAGGUUGCGGUGAGCCGAGAUCAAGCCAUUGCACUCCAGCCUGGAUGACAAGAGUAAAACUCUGUCUCAAAAAAAAAAAGAAAGAAAAGGAAAAAGAAAAAGCUGUAUCUGCAGUUUCAGGUAUCUACUGGGGUGCUUGGAACAUACGCUUCGUGGAUAAGGGGGGUCUGCUGUAUACAUACUCAUGUAAAACUUGUUUCCUCCCCUGAAAAAUGUGAAGGAGAUGAUGAGUUUGAGGCUCCUCCUUCUCAGAAGUUUGAGUUUGACCCCUGAAAUCUGUGUGUCAUUCAGAUCAGGUCACGAGGUUGAAGUAAGGAAGGGAAACAGCAUGACAUGAGGCCAAGGAUGAGCCCCUCUGAGGCACCAGAGUGACGUCAGACGCCCCCCAGGACACAGGGCUCCCCCUACAUUGCCCUCGGCAGCCUCUGUGCCACCCUUGGUGCGGUUCUUAGUCAUGACUCCCUUUCAACCAGGGUUAUUGUUCUUGGAGGGAGGUCACUCACUGAAAGAAGGGUGCCUGCUGGGAAGGGUGUUUUUGGUCAGCUGAAUUUCUCCAGGGCCUCCUGGCGUCCCCCUAUGUACCCGAGGGCCUUUGUCACUGUGAGCUCUCAGACUAGCUGCUCGAAUGUCUCGUCUGAGCAGACAGCUCCAUCUUUAUCUUCAGGGCUCUGAAUCCCAGGUAUCCCUGGCCAUCGAGCUGCUCUCUGAGGACUGUCUGCUUCCUCACUGACCCUGUGGUCCCCUGCACCGUCUCCAUAUCGUCCAUACUUACACGGCGGCCUAUGUUACUGGCGAGAGAGAAGGCAGACGUGACACAAUCCUGGCACAGUCCUAGUCCCCCUAGCAGGUGGUCCCAAAUGACAUGCUGAAGAGGCCUGGAGAUGCAGGACACACAGAUCUUGUCCUCCUGGGCUGGAUACGACAAGACCCCAAGGGUGUUUGGCUGCAGGACCUCUGGUAUGGACACUCUGCCUUCUCCUUUCCUGAGGGUGUGGGCUGCGUACCUGUGACAUAUUGCCCGGCACCUGUUCCUAGCUACUGGCGGGCUGCUAGGUAAGAUGAACUGUUGGGUCCUGAAAACCAUGGCCCCCAAAGCCUCUGCUUUUAAAGUUCUGCUGUCAGACUUUUAUACUUUCUCUACUUUGAGGGCUGUUCAUCCUCUGAUCGCCAUGCUUCCUCUUGGCUUGGAGAAAGCCGUGGAGCAAAUGCUGUUCCUGUAUUGGGGGCGGGGAGCCUGGAGAGAAGUCUGGCUUGUCAUGGACAGACUGGAUCAGGGGCCUAACUGGACAAAGAGAAACUCAGCUGGGACAAACGUGAAGCUCUGCAGUGAGGCUGUCCCUCCAUAAAGACCUGCAUGGACACACGCACAGGGAAUGCUAACGACACUGCUCAGGAUACAAGUGACAUCAGGCCCUCACCUGCUUCAAGUCCCCCAGAGCCAAGCUGGGUAAGAUGUAUAAUCACUCUCCAAUUUGUGUUCUGGAGCUCUGAGCACAGUUCUAGAGUCACAGAAUAAGUAGUGGAUUAAAAAAUGGCACGUGCCUGGAGGACAGUGUGGCUGGAAACCGUGGGCUUCGAGGAAAGGCAGCUCAGGAUCUCUCAGCUGGAGAAGGGAAGGCUCGGGGGUCCCUAAGAGGUGUGCACAGAUAUCCGAGGACUUGCCAUUUUGUAGAUGAAGACUCAUUUUGUGUGCAGAUGGUGGGUGCCUUGAAGGAAGUGAUCUUGCCAUCACUGGAGGUGGUUCUAGAAACUUCCCUUGGUGAAGAUGUAGGACUACAUGACAUUUAAAGUUGUUCUCAGCCUGAAGUGUCUCUGCAUCCAAAAAUGAUUUUUAAAUAUCCUUGUAGGGCUCUGAAAUGUCUCCUUACCUGGGACAGACAAAAGAGUGGACAAUUCCUCUUUCACAAGACUUAGUGCCUCUCUGAAGCAGCUCAGUCUGGGCCUGUAAGGAUCCACGUGUGUGCAAGAGUGUGUGUGUGUGUGAAAGUGAGUGUGCCUGAAUGUGUGUCAGUGUGUGUGAGUGUGCAUGUGUGUGUGUGUGUAUAGCAUUUGUGGUGGAUUAGAUGGUUAUUGAGCAAAUGCUCACUCAAUAUUACUCCUUCCUUUGCUGAUGGCAUAUAUUUGCCCCACUCACUUUGGACAUGGCUGUGUAACCACUGCAUGAAAGUGAGAGGGUGCCAACGGGUCAGAUGUCCAUGUUUGUCCUCUGGUGCUCCUGCCUCCACCAUGAGAUAAGGUUGUUGCAGUUCCAAAAUAAAGAGACCCAUGGAACAAACCAUGUCCACGCCCAGCCAAGAGCUAACCCCAGUCAGACCUGUGAGUGAAUAGAAAUAAAUAGCUGUUGUUGGAAGCCACUGAGAUUUGGGGAUUAUUUGUUACCCAGCAUUAUCACAGCAAAAGCUGGCUGCUGAGUGUUCCUGGAAUUCUUAACAUAGAAUGACUUUAAUACUCAGGUCUGUGGGAGGGCCUCUGUUCUGAGGUGCUUGCUCUAUUGCACUGAGGAAUCAGUGUUCAGUAAACAGUUGUUUUUCUCCAGACCCCUUUUCACGGCCUCUCCCUGGAGUGUGCAGCUCCUGCAUUUGUAGGACGAUCAACCACAUUUACAAAAUCCCAUCUCCUCUCCAGUAACCCACUUCAACAGACUCUUAGAACCGUCUGUCUUUGACAAGG
Molecule: long non-coding RNA, 3676 nt
Filed under: Callithrix jacchus (white-tufted-ear marmoset)
Lineage: Eukaryota; Metazoa; Chordata; Mammalia; Primates; Cebidae
Description: lncRNA (ENSCJAG00000085010.1)
Source: RNAcentral